GUUCCAUCUUCCUGUUCCAAACCACGUGGACGCGCGCUGGGCACUGCGGGGCAACAACGGCGGUGCCGCGACCAUAACAACGAGGCGCUUUGCACGCUGCCGGCGAGCUCCCUGGCUGGUGCUUGGCGGGGCUCCUCGCUGCUGCCCUAGCAGCGGCAACAUGGCGAGCCAGCCUCACUCCCUCAGUUAUGUUGGCUGCAACUUUUUGCGGCAGCGGCUGGUGCUUUCCACGCUGAGCGGGCGGCCGGUGAAAAUCCGCAGGAUCCGGGCCAAGGAUGACAACCCCGGCCUCAGAGAUUUUGAAGCAAAUUUUAUAAGGCUGAUUGACAAAAUAACCAAUGGAUCUAGGAUUGAAAUUAACCAAACAGGCACUACUUUAUAUUACCAGCCUGGCCUGCUCUAUGGAGGGUCGCUAGAACAUGAUUGUAGUCCCAACCGAAGUAUUGGUUAUUAUUUGGAAAGUCUUCUCUGCUUAGCACCGUUCAUGAAACACUCCUUAAGAAUUAUUCUCAGAGGCGUAACAAAUGAUCAAGUAGAUCCUUCGGUGGACGUUCUCAAGGCAACUGCUCUGCCCUUAUUGAAAAGGUUUGGAAUUGAUGGAGAAGAGUUAGAAUUGAAGAUCACUAGAAGGGGUAUGCCACCCAAAGGAGGUGGUGAAGUGAUAUUUACUUGUCCUGUUAAGAAAGCAGUAAAGCCUGUUCAGUUUACUGACCCUGGCAAAAUUAAGCGUAUCAGAGGUGUGGCGUAUUCUGUGAGAGUAUCACCCCAGAUUGCAAAUCGGAUUGUGGAUUCUGCAAGGAACAUCCUGAAUAAAUUCCUGCCAGAUAUUUACAUUUACACAGAUCACAUGAAGGGAACCAGCUCUGGGAAGUCUCCAGGUUUUGGGUUGUCCCUUGUGGCAGAGACUACUAAUGGUGUGUUCCUUAGUGCAGAGCUGGCCUCUAACCCCCAGGGGGAGGGUGUUGCUGUCCUCCCGGAAGACCUUGGCACAAACUGCGCAAAAUUACUACUUGAAGAGAUUUACAGGGGAGGCUGUGUGGAUUCAACAAACCAAAGCUUAGUUCUCCUCCUCAUGACCCUUGGACAGCAGGACGUUUCCAAAGUCCUAUUAGGAACCCUGUCGCCGUACACAAAGAAUGGGGAUGAAGAGAAGCAGUCACCUGUCCUGCUGAAGACAUCUGUAAUACUUUUUCACUCCUGUUCACAAGAUACGGAUGGACCACAACAUCAGUGGUCAAAGAGAGCUGAAGAAUUGGUGGAGGGCAAUUUAUGGAAAUAGAGAAAAGUUAGAAAAGGGUCUCAGUUCAAUGGGCUUAUGUGCCCUUGCGGAAAUACUAAAUGUGAUGAAGAACAUGCUGAAGAUGUAAAAAAAAAAUCAAAGAAAACACUCCAUCCAAGAAAAGAAAAUCAAAGAAACACUCCACGUGGGCAACGCUAAGCAUGUUCAUCUUAGCCUUUUUCACCCCAAAAUAUUUUUUUGAUAAUUUUAACUGCUUUUGUCUGUUUUCAUUUAUGUGCUAUAAGUAGUGUAGCAGCUUUUGAGUUUGAGGAGUGUGGAAGAUACUUAUUUUAACAAGGGUGGUAUAAUUAAUUGUCACUGCUGGAGAGAUCUCAGAACAGGCUGCAUUGUUCCUUUUUAAAACACUGACUCUCCAGGUCUACUUGCAAGCCCCAUGGAUCUUCCAGGAAUUGAGUUUCUGCGACAUUUGAGAAGCUAUUUCCAGAUUAUGUUUAAAAUUGAAGUGAAGCCAUCUGAUGAAGAGCGCAAAGGUGGAG
Eublepharis macularius is the source of this 1776-nucleotide RNA transcript. It is a transcript of the gene named RNA terminal phosphate cyclase like 1, with no coding region annotated. The record is from RefSeq and is a predicted model, not a curated record. The transcript has 10 exons. Lineage: Eukaryota; Metazoa; Chordata; Lepidosauria; Squamata; Eublepharidae.